GAUGAACGCUGGCGGCGUGCCUAAUACAUGCAAGUCGAGCGAACGGACGAGAAGCUUGCUUUUCUGAUGUUAGCGGCGGACGGGUGAGUAACACGUGGAUAACCUACCUAUAAGACUGGGAUAACUUCGGGAAACCGGAGCUAAUACCGGAUAAUAUUUUGAACCGCAUGGUUCAAAAGUGAAAGACGGUCUUGCUGUCACUUAUAGAUGGAUCCGCGCUGCAUUAGCUAGUUGGUAAGGUAACGGCUUACCAAGGCAACGAUGCAUAGCCGACCUGAGAGGGUGAUCGGCCACACUGGAACUGAGACACGGUCCAGACUCCUACGGGAGGCAGCAGUAGGGAAUCUUCCGCAAUGGGCGAAAGCCUGACGGAGCAACGCCGCGUGAGUGAUGAAGGUCUUCGGAUCGUAAAACUCUGUUAUUAGGGAAGAACAUAUGUGUAAGUAACUGUGCACAUCUUGACGGUACCUAAUCAGAAAGCCGCGGCUAACUACGUGCCAGCAGCCGCGGUAAUACGUAGGUGGCAAGCGUUAUCCGGAAUUAUUGGGCGUAAAGCGCGCGUAGGCGGUUUUUUAAGUCUGAUGUGAAAGCCCACGGCUCAACCGUGGAGGGUCAUUGGAAACUGGAAAACUUGAGUGCAGAAGAGGAAAGUGGAAUUCCAUGUGUAGCGGUGAAAUGCGCAGAGAUGUGGAGGAACACCAGUGGCGAAGGCGACUUUCUGGUCUGUAACUGACGCUGAUGUGCGAAAGCGUGGGGAUCAAACAGGAUUAGAUACCCUGGUAGUCCACGCCGUAAACGAUGAGUGCUAAGUGUUAGGGGGUUUCCGCCCCUUAGUGCUGCAGCUAACGCAUUAAGCACUCCGCCUGGGGAGUACGACCGCAAGGUUGAAACUCAAAGGAAUUGACGGGGGCCCGCACAAGCGGUGGAGCAUGUGGUUUAAUUCGAAGCAACGCGAAGAACCUUACCAAAUCUUGACAUCCUUUGACAACUCUAGAGAUAGAGCCUUCCCCUUCGGGGGACAAAGUGACAGGUGGUGCAUGGUUGUCGUCAGCUCGUGUCGUGAGAUGUUGGGUUAAGUCCCGCAACGAGCGCAACCCUUAAGCUUAGUUGCCAUCAUUAAGUUGGGCACUCUAAGUUGACUGCCGGUGACAAACCGGAGGAAGGUGGGGAUGACGUCAAAUCAUCAUGCCCCUUAUGAUUUGGGCUACACACGUGCUACAAUGGACAAUACAAAGGGCAGCGAAACCGCGAGGUCAAGCAAAUCCCAUAAAGUUGUUCUCAGUUCGGAUUGUAGUCUGCAACUCGACUACAUGAAGCUGGAAUCGCUAGUAAUCGUAGAUCAGCAUGCUACGGUGAAUACGUUCCCGGGUCU
This 1372-nucleotide ribosomal RNA is filed under the name uncultured bacterium. RNAcentral describes it as "bacterial SSU rRNA". It matches the Rfam family "Bacterial small subunit ribosomal RNA", at positions 28 to 1381 of the family's 1533-position model. The record is from RNAcentral.